Molecule: transfer RNA, 65 nt
Filed under: Diorhabda carinata
Lineage: Eukaryota; Metazoa; Arthropoda; Insecta; Coleoptera; Chrysomelidae
Also listed under: 1 other name
Description: tRNA-Leu
Rfam family: tRNA
About the family: Transfer RNA (tRNA) molecules are approximately 80 nucleotides in length. Their secondary structure includes four short double-helical elements and three loops (D, anti-codon, and T loops).
Source: RNAcentral
UCUAAUAUGGCAGAUUAGUGCAUUGGACUUAAACCCCAAACAUAAAGUUUAAACUUUUUUUAGAA